Non-coding RNA from Cordylochernes scorpioides, 76 nucleotides. The record is from the annotation of a GenBank genome assembly. Lineage: Eukaryota; Metazoa; Arthropoda; Arachnida; Pseudoscorpiones; Chernetidae.
AUCCGGUCGGUGGAAGGCUGGUUAAACCGUUUGGUUUACGACCACUACGACCCGGGUUCGAUUCCCGCAUUGGACA